CAGGUUGCCUUUGAUCAUGGUGCUCACCAUAGCAAUAGAAGCCCUAACUAAGACAGGAGGGGGUAUGUAUUCACAUGCUGCUGCUUACUGGCUGUUCUUCAGAGUGGCUACCCAAAGGAACCUCUCAGGAAUAGUGAAAUGACACCAACUGUUAGCAUGGCUGGUGAGACACACCAGCUUCCCAGCUGCUGAUUUCUGUCUUCAGGUGGGUAAAGCUCAGAACGAACGAUGACUUCACAACAGUGGAAGACUAAUCAAAUCCCCCACUCUCAUUCACAGGGUCUGGCUUAGGAUAGCCUGGGCUCCCCUACAACCUCAAGGUGCACAGUCCUAUCUUUCCAAACAGUUCCCACCUGCCAACUUGGGGCUCCCAGAGUCUCAGCAGAACCCCCACCCAGCUCCCCACAGAGCUCUGCCUUGUGUGACUGAGACAUCUCCACCACGCACCGCCUACUCCACCCCACUGAAGACUAACAGCUGCAGUGUCGGGCCUUCUACAUUAAUGACAGCAUGUUAGGUUCCCAACAGCCUUCAAGGACUAGAAUGGCUGUGCUUCGUGAUACUAGACACUGAGACUCUGAGGGGGAGGAUACUCGUGCCUCAGGUGGCUUAGGAAGAUUUUGAGAUCUGUGCAUCUGUCUGAUUCCAG
This 649-nucleotide long non-coding RNA is filed under the name Cricetulus griseus (Chinese hamster). Its description in RNAcentral is "lncRNA (ENSCGRG00015039409.1)". Lineage: Eukaryota; Metazoa; Chordata; Mammalia; Rodentia; Cricetidae. The record is from RNAcentral.